This 354-nucleotide ribosomal RNA is filed under the name Parachristianella campbelli. RNAcentral describes it as "eukaryotic LSU rRNA". It matches the Rfam family "Eukaryotic large subunit ribosomal RNA", at positions 128 to 454 of the family's 3401-position model. The record is from RNAcentral. Lineage: Eukaryota; Metazoa; Platyhelminthes; Cestoda; Trypanorhyncha; Eutetrarhynchidae.
AUUUGUCGUUAGGCAAUGUGGUGUUUAGGUCGGCUCGUGGGACUGCCACUCCAUUCGAAGUCCAGCAUUGAGUAUGGUACCCUGGAUUUGGCCCAGAGAGGGUGAAAGGCCCGUGCGAAUGGAUGUUUCAGACAUGAAAGGCAGUUCAUCAGGUCGACCUUCGAGUCGGGUUGUUUGAGAAUGCAGCCCUAAGUGGGUGGUAAACUCCAUCCAAGGCUAAAUACUAGCACGAGUCCGAUAGCGAACAAGUACCGUGAGGGAAAGUUGAAAAGUACUCUGAAGAGAGAGUAAACAGUACGUGAAACCGUAUAGAGGUAAACGGGUGGCGUCAAGCUGCAAGCCCAGAGGAUUCAG